GUGAAAGAGUCGUCCUUUUCUUGCUUCCGUUUCCAUCCAAUCAGCAAGUCUUUGCCGGUCUCUCUGGCCUCCAGGCACAUCUGCCCUCAAAGACACUUCAAUCCCUUGAUGCAGCAGUCAGCAUGUGUGUGUCCCCAGUACUCCAUCAAACGGCUUGUUUCUGCCCCGAGAGCACUGAUGGCUGCUUCCACGGUGCACGGACUAUUAAUGUGCACCAAAUACAUGCAGAAUCUGCCGAGAAACGGAAUGAGUGUACUCGAUUGAGUCUAUCUGCUGCAAAAAAAGGCAGACAUUUGCUCUCCUGAGAGUCGUGGACUGUGCCUGGAUGUGUGGAGUACCGGAGCUGAUCAGACUGUGUCAGAGACCUGCUGAGAAAUAGAUUACAGUCAGAUGGAAGGAACCCAAAGCCUGGUAGCAAACCAUAGCACAGCAGGUCCCGACAGUGCUGAGAGGGCAACCCCAGCAUAUGAAG
Long non-coding RNA from Carassius carassius (crucian carp), 472 nucleotides. RefSeq lists it as uncharacterized. Lineage: Eukaryota; Metazoa; Chordata; Actinopteri; Cypriniformes; Cyprinidae. The transcript is spliced from 3 exons. The record is from RefSeq and is a predicted model, not a curated record.